GUACAGUGGAUAUUAUUUUUGUAGUGUUAUAAUCAAGUUAUGUAGUCAAAAAAGUUAGUUACAAAAAAGUAGGCAAAACAUCAAGAAUUUUUUUAUAGAUAUAUUUCAGUGUCUGCUGAAGUGAAACAGGGAAUUUCUUUCAACUUUUAUUGUUUUUGGAUUAAGGUUCUGCAAAAAGCAGCUCGUUAGCCAAGCGGAAUGUGUGAUACUGAUAUACUGAUUCAGAGAGAGAAAGUGUAUGGCAACUGGAGAGAGGAAGAUACUAUCAGAAAAAAAACACCCAAACAUUUAUCUCUGAUUCUAAGUAUAGAUAUAGAUCCUUAAAUUUAUACUUUAAGAACAGUGACCAAUGUUUCAAAGUGCCUAAACUCUAGAAAUAUUUCGGUGAUCUUCGCUUAGCUCAGUGUUAACUGGUUCAUACCAAAAUUAAAUGCAAGAAAUAAAUAUCUUUGCUGGGUAACAUAUUACUUGAGUUUAGUAUUAUCAUAAAAUAACAGAAUCUUCUGAAUUAGAAAGUCAUCUAAUCCAACUCCCUUGAAAUGAAUAUGAACAAGCUGCUCAGAGCCUGGGCCAGCCUGAUCUUGAAUGUCUCCAAGGACAGGUGAUCCAUCCACCACCUCUCUGGGUGAUUUCUUUCAGUGCCUCACCACCUUCAUAGUAAAAAAAACCUUCUUUGUAUCUAAUGUGAAUUUAUCCUUUUACAUUUUAAAACCAUUUACAUUUGUCCUAUCGCAACAGACCUUGCUGAAGAAUCUGUCCUCUUCUCCUUAUAGCCCUCCUUCAGAUACUGAAAGGCUACUAUCACAUCUCCCCAGAGCCUUCUCUUUUCCAGGCUGAACAGUCCCAGCUCUUUCAGCCUGUCCUCACAGGGGAGGUAUUCCAUUUCUGCUCAUGCUCUAACAGAUCCAUGCCUCUCCUGUACUCGAGAACUCCACGUCAGGAUGGAGUACUCCAGAUGUGGUGUCACCAAUGCAGAGCAGAGGGGCAGGAUCAUCUACCUUGACCUGCUGACCACGAUUCUUUUGGUGCAGUCCAGGACAGGAGUGGCUUUCUGGGCUGUGAGGGUACACACUGCUAGUUCAUGUCCACUUGCUAUUUACUAGUAUCCCUAUGCCCAUUGUGGCAGGGCUGUUCUCUCUCCUUAUAUCCUUCAACUUGUACUGAUACAAGGGGUUGGUUACCAUUACCCAUGUGCAGUACCUUGCACUUGGAUUUUUUGAACCUCAUGAGGUUCUCCUUGUCCCACUGACAAAGGCUGUCUAAGUCUCUCUGAGUGGCAUCCCAUCCCUUAGUCAUCUUGACCUUAUCACAUAGCUUGUUGUCAUCCACAAACUUGAUGAGAAUGUACUUGAUCCCACUGCCAAUGUCACUGCUGAAGAUAUUAAAGAGCAUUGGUCCCACUACUGACCCCUGAGGAGCACCACUUGUUACUUUCUCUAGCCAGACAUUGAGCCAAUGACCACCACUCUCAAGGUAUGACUAGACUAAACUUUGUUCAUCAGUCCACCUUUCAAAUCCACACAUUUGGAAUUUGAAAAGAAGGAUAUGAUGGGGACUAUGUCCAAGUCUCUACUGACAUUAAGAUAGAUGACAUCAAGCAUUUUCCUCAUCCGCUCAUGUAGUUAUUCCAUCAUGAAAUCCACUAAUUAGCUUUUCAAAAUUAGUUCUUAUUUGUAACACUGAACAUUAUAAAUUGUAUUUUCUUUACAUAGCAGUAUCUAAUAGCUUUUCCCUGAAAUGAGCUUGUUUCUGAAGAAACAAAAAUUGGAUUCACUACUUUAGAACAUUUUAUAUUUUUUCUUCGUCAAAUCCUAACGAUUUUAAAUGCAUAGGUUUUCUUCAGUUUUGUUUAUUUUGUGGGGUAAUUUGAUAAAUUAAUGUGUAUUUUGUAAAGCAAACAAGUGUCAGGCAGUUAGUACAUAGCAUGAUAACAGAAUUGCUCUUUGAUUUGCGUAGUAGUGUUCCUGUUAAAAAUUCUGCUUGCCAGUCUUUGAGAUUAAAUUCUUUUAUAUAGAAUGAGUGUGUUAAGUCAAAUGAUGUGAAUCUGCCUAAACCACUUUCUUCUUGUAUCAAGCAGUCUCAGAAUUCUAUAAUAAUCCUUCCUUCCUAAAACUUUGGAAUUGCUUUUUAGACACAGUCUUUGUUUCUGUGUUUAAUUGUUACAAUAUCAAUAUGUCUUAUGUACUUUGAUACAUUCAAUAAAGUGCACUAGCACAGCAAAA
Molecule: long non-coding RNA, 2222 nt
Organism: Tympanuchus pallidicinctus (lesser prairie-chicken)
Lineage: Eukaryota; Metazoa; Chordata; Aves; Galliformes; Phasianidae
Exons: 2
Source: RefSeq, a predicted model, not a curated record